This 73-nucleotide transfer RNA is filed under the name Camelus bactrianus (Bactrian camel). It matches the Rfam family "tRNA". Rfam says of the family: Transfer RNA (tRNA) molecules are approximately 80 nucleotides in length. Their secondary structure includes four short double-helical elements and three loops (D, anti-codon, and T loops). The record is from Rfam by way of RNAcentral. RNAcentral also lists the same sequence under 2 other names. Lineage: Eukaryota; Metazoa; Chordata; Mammalia; Artiodactyla; Camelidae.
GAGGGUAUAGCUCAAGUGAUAGAGCACAUGCUUAGCAUGCAUGAGGUCCUGGGUUCAAUCCCCAGCACCUCCU